This 252-nucleotide ribosomal RNA is filed under the name uncultured bacterium. RNAcentral describes it as "partial 16S ribosomal RNA". It matches the Rfam family "Bacterial small subunit ribosomal RNA", at positions 524 to 776 of the family's 1533-position model. The record is from RNAcentral.
UACGAAGGGAGCUAGCGUUGUUCGGAAUUACUGGGCGUAAAGGCGCGUAGGCGGCCAUUCAAGUGACGGGUGAAAGCCCUCGGCUUAACCGAGGAACUGCCUGUCAGACUGGAUGGCUUGAGACCGGGAGAGGUGAGUGGAAUUCCCAGUGUAGCGGUGAAAUGCGUAGAUAUUGGGAGGAACACCAGUGGCGAAGGCGGCUCACUGGACCGGAACUGACGCUGAGGCGCGAAAGCGUGGGGAGCAAACAGG